RNAcentral lists this long non-coding RNA (1812 nucleotides) under Lathyrus oleraceus (garden pea). RNAcentral describes it as "Pisum sativum (pea) long non-coding RNA (PSAT_LNC035016)". Lineage: Eukaryota; Viridiplantae; Streptophyta; Magnoliopsida; Fabales; Fabaceae. The record is from RNAcentral.
AAUGAUAAGUUUAAAUUUACAUCGAAUUUAAAGAAAUAUUAUAAUGUUAAAUGAUGUUUUGCCAUUGUUGAGUUCUAUUUUAAAGUAAAAUUUCUUUCAGUUUUUUGAAAGACAUGUGCUACUUAAUAUUAAAUCACUUUAAUUACUUUUUGUAUUUAAUUAUUCCUUUAACUUAAUACAAUCACAAAGUUAAUAAUAAAUCUUAACAAAAAAUAAUAUGUUAAUUAUUAUAUAUUUUAGAAAUUGCAAAUUUGGAAGUUAAUUGAAUAUAAUCAAACAGUAAUACAUGCUUAGCGCAAUCAAGACUAAACUUAGUUAAUUAAGACAAAAAUAUUCUUACAACAACUUUAAUAAUUUAUACUAAUCCUUCUUAUUUUAUAAUAUUAUAUACUAUAAAUUACAAGCCAUUUUUCGAGUUAUAUUCCUUAAUGUCUUUUGUUUUGAAAGUCUGAACAUGAUUCAACAUUAAUACAUCGAUUGAAAAAACAAACUUUUGUCUUACUAAUGUCACUUUCAAAAUUAAUAAUUAUUUAUUUUUAAAAUUCUUUUUUACACAUUUUCGAAAAACAAUCUAUAUGCUUUCAAGAUCAAAGGGUUUGAAGCAGAUUCUCAAGGUGCUAAUGUAAAAAAUCUUGUCUAUGGUUGACAUUAUUGGAUAAAGGAGUCGAUUAAUGGUCGACGACAUCCAACUUUAAGAUGGAUUUUCUCUCUAAAGACUUUGAUCUUCAUAAUACACAUAGAAUCAAAACAAAGAGUAACGCCCACUUUUUCAAGCAUUAUAUGAAGUUUGACGUCGUUGGCGAUGACAAAAUUUUAGUGCAAUCAAGUACAAUUCAUGACAAAUAUCUUUUUAUAUAUUAAUAAAGUGUAUGUAAUGAUAAAUUUAAAUUUACAUUGAAUUUAAAGAAAUAUUAUAAUGUUAAAUGAUGUUUUGCCAUUGUUGAAUUCUACUCUAAAGUAAAAUUUCUUUCAAUUUUUUGAAAGACAUGUGCUAUUUAAUAUUAAAUCACUUUAAUUAUUUUUAAUUUUUAAUUUUACCUUUAACUUAAUACAAUCAACAAAGUUAAUAGUGAAUGUUUGCAAAAAAUAAUAUGUUAAUUAUUGUAUAUUUUAGAAAUUGCAAAUUCGGAAGUUAAUUGAAUAUAAUCAAACACUAAUAUAUGCUUAGCGCAAUGAAAACUAAAACUUAGUUAAUUAAGACUAAAAUAUUCUUACAAGAACUUAAAAAAUUUAUACUAAUUUUUCUUAUUUUAUAAUAAUAUAUACUAUAAAUUACAAGCCAUUUUUUUAGAUAUAUUCAUUAAUGUCUUUUGUUUUGAAAUUUUGAAUAUAAUUUAACAUAAAUACAUCAAUUAGAAAGACAAACGUUUGUCUUACUAAUGUCAAUUUAAAAAUUAAUGAUUACUUAUUUUUUAGUUUUGUUUUUAAAUAUUUUCGAAAAGAUUUCUUUAUGCUUUCUAGAUGAAAUGGUUUGAAGCCGAUUCACAAGGUGCUAAUUAAAAAAAUCACGUCUAUGGUUGACAUUAUUUGAUAAUGGAGUAGAUUGGUUGCCGACGACAUCCGACUUUAAGACGGAUUUUCUCUCUAAAUACAUGGAUCUUCAUAAUGCCUAUAGAAUCAAAACAAAGUGCAUUGUCCACACUUUAAUGCAUUAUAUGAAGUACGAUGUCGUUGGUAAUGAUUUUUUUUUUUGGAAACAAGUACAAUUCUUGAUAAAUAUCUAUUUAUAUAUUAAUAAAGUCUAUGUAUAAUGAUAAAUUUAAAUUUACAUCGAAUUUAAAGAAAUAUUAUAAUGUUAAAUGAUGUUUUGCC